RNAcentral lists this small nuclear RNA (172 nucleotides) under Salmo salar (Atlantic salmon). Its description in RNAcentral is "U2 spliceosomal RNA (ENSSSAG00000099262.1)". It matches the Rfam family "U2 spliceosomal RNA". From Rfam's summary of the family: U2 is a small nuclear RNA (snRNA) component of the spliceosome (involved in pre-mRNA splicing). Complementary binding between U2 snRNA (in an area lying towards the 5' end but 3' to hairpin I) and the branchpoint sequence (BPS) of the intron results the bulging out of an unpaired adenosine, on the BPS, which initiates a nucleophilic attack at the intronic 5' splice site, thus starting the first of two transesterification reactions that mediate splicing. Lineage: Eukaryota; Metazoa; Chordata; Actinopteri; Salmoniformes; Salmonidae. The record is from RNAcentral.
AUUAUUUUUUCUAAAAAAAUCUGUUCUUAUCAGUUUAAUAUCUAAUACGUCCCCCAUCGGGGGACUACAUAUUAAAUGGAUUUUUCGAACAGGGAGUCGGAAAUGGGGCUUGCUCCGUCCGCUCCACGCAUCGACCCGGUAUUGCAGUACCUCCGGGAACGGUGCAACACUU